UAUAUGACUGAAAAUAUUAUCGUCAUUUGUAAGCGCAUGAGUGAUGUUCUUAUCUGCCACAUCCACAUUUUCCUAAUUGUCACAAUGAUAUGUUUGAUAACCCUAUUUUGACAACCCUAUAUUGAAUUCUGGAUCAUGUCUUACCAUUACUUGUUCUAUCUCCUGACUUUUCCUCAGGAAUGUGGAGGAUGCAAAUAGCUGAGCCUCAUUCUCUAUGUUGAUCAUUUUGAUGUGGCCAGAUUUGCAUUUGGUAGAUAGACUUAAGUCCCAUAGUAAAUUUGAUGAUUUUUGUUUUCAAGACUAGAUGAAGAGCUAAAUAUUUGAAACACAAAACUUUCUGAGCUAAAAUAGUUCCAUUUUCAUUGCUCAGGUUAGAUAGAAUAAAGGUCAGAAAUCCCGUGUGUGUGUGUAUAGAGAGAUCUUUAAGCUUAAGCUUCCUCACUUUGUUGGUUGAGAUAGUUAUCGGUUAGAUUUCACUAUUAUAAAGAUUCUGUUUGACUUUAUAAUUAAUUAGAAAUCUGAGAAGUGAUAUUUUGAGAUGUAUGAAUAUCCUCUUUCUUACCAACCUAUCCCCAAAUUUUCAGAAUCUAUUGAUGAUUCCUAUCUAAAUUAAUCAUUGUAUCAGCAGUGGCAAGAUGAUUUUCUAAUUCUGUAAUCUUUCUUCACUCCUCUUCCUUUUUAAAUAUCAUGAGCACAUGGAUUCUUUGCAAAUGGAGUGAGUCAUUUCUGACAUUAUUCUUUGUUGAUUCUUAAAUUGGCCUAGUGUGAUGAGUGAGACACCUUUUAAGUGGGCUUCUGCAUACUUUCUAGAAGUCUCUAUUAGUUCUUUAGCACUUUCUUCUUCGUGACAUGACAAAAUGUUCACUUUGUAUUUUUUCUACCUCAGACCUAGAAAUAGCUCUUAACCCAGUAGUUGGUUUCUUUUUAUUGAGUAAUGAUAUUUUUAAAAAUCAAGAUCAUCAGUGGUAAGCUUAUCAUUUAUAUUGAGCUCAAUUUCGGUGGACAGAGCUAAGAAUACGGUCAUCCUUUAAUAUCCUUGAGGAAAUUGGUUGAAGGAUGCAGAGAACAAAAUCCCUGAGUGCUCAAAUCCAUUAUAUUAAAUGGCUUGGGUAAUAUAGCCUGUGAACAAUCCACCUUUGUACUUGAAAUCAUCUCUCUAGAUUACUUAGAAUGGCUAAACUAGUACAGUCAUUGUUCUCAAAAGUAUUAAUACAUUUGCUGCCAUGCACAAAACACAGUAAUAUCAUUACCAAUGGCAGACCUACCUAAGUAAACUGCAAGAUUUGUUUUUGUCUUUAGAGUAUAUUCCAGGUUCAGAGCUUGCUUGCAUGAAUAAAUUCUUUUUCCCUCCAUGUUUAUGUCAUUAAUUUGAAAUAAAACUACAUCUAUCUGUUUCUGUUCUGCUCAGUUUCCUCUUUUCUAUCUCUAUAUAUUUAAUUUUGUUAAUUUAUUCACUAUCACAUUGAAAUAUCAAACAGAUGGCUUACAGUAAAAUACUUACAAUUCUUUGCAUGUAUUGUUUUCUCAUUUUGCUUUUACCAUGUAAUAUAUUCCUAGACAUCACCUACUAUUUUAUAUUGAUCCUUAUUCUUUUUUUUUUAACAGCUGUGUUGUGGUAGAGUUACCAUAAUUAAUUCAGGUGAACACCAGUGGGUUUCUGGAUAGUUUUGUGUUUAUAAAUAACUUCAUACUGAAUGGCUUUGUUCACAUAUUUUUGGUUUUUGGAGGUAUACUCUGGUGUGGGGGGCAGGGCUUCAUGCAUGCUAGGCAAACACUCUACCACUAGGCUACUUUCCCAGCCCCUACUUUUC
This is a long non-coding RNA of Perognathus longimembris pacificus (Pacific pocket mouse), 1811 nucleotides long. RefSeq lists it as uncharacterized. The record is from RefSeq and is a predicted model, not a curated record. The transcript has 3 exons. NCBI's taxonomy places the organism in Eukaryota, Metazoa, Chordata, Mammalia, Rodentia, Heteromyidae.